This 424-nucleotide ribosomal RNA is filed under the name uncultured bacterium. Its description in RNAcentral is "partial 16S ribosomal RNA". It matches the Rfam family "Bacterial small subunit ribosomal RNA", at positions 360 to 776 of the family's 1533-position model. The record is from RNAcentral.
AAUUUUGGACAAUGGGGGAAACCCUGAUCCAGUAAUGCCUCGUGCAGUAUGAAGGCCUNAGGUUUNANAACUGCUUUUGUACGGANCGAAUAGUCUUGGGCUAAUACUCUGGGAUCAUGACUGUAUUGUAAGAAGAAGAACCGGCUAACUACGUACCAUGAGCCGCGGUAAUACGUAGGGUGCAAGCGUUAACAGGAAUUACUGGGCGUAAAGCGUGCGCAGUCGGUUUUGUAAGACAGUGCUGAAAUCCCCGGGAUCAACCUGGGAACUGCCAUAGUGACUGCAAGGCUGGAGUGCGGCAGAGGGGGAUGGAAUUACGCGUGUAGCAGUGAAAUGCGUAGAUAUGCGGAGGAACACCGAUGGCGAAGGCAAUCCCCUGGGCCUGCACUGACGCUCAUGCACGAAAGCGUGGGGAGCAAACAGG